CUCGCCUGUAUGAAGUCGGAAUUGCUAGUAAUCGUGGAUCAGCAUGCCACGGUGAAUACGUUCCCGGGCCUUGUACACACCGCUCGUCACACCAUGAGAGCCGGGAACACCCGAAGUCCGUAGUCUAACCUAUAUGGAGGACGCGGCCGAAGGUGGGUUUGGUAAUUGGGGUGAAGUCGUAACAAGGUAUC
RNAcentral lists this ribosomal RNA (191 nucleotides) under uncultured bacterium. RNAcentral's name for it is "partial 16S ribosomal RNA". It matches the Rfam family "Bacterial small subunit ribosomal RNA", at positions 1311 to 1500 of the family's 1533-position model. The record is from RNAcentral.